GAAAUCAAGGAAAGGAAGAUCUUGAUAGCCCAGAAGACGAAGAACUUGGAGAUAUAUUAACGCAUGGAAACCCAUCCGAAUUUAACACGCCAGAAGAAAGUCAAUCGAUUCAUAUUGAUUACGAUGAACUUGCUAGGGCAAUGCAAAGAAUUUGAUGAUUUCGAUUACUACUAGUUUACUACUUGUUACAAAAGAUGUAAAGUUUUUACUACUUAAG
This 217-nucleotide long non-coding RNA is filed under the name Nicotiana benthamiana. RNAcentral describes it as "long non-coding RNA (NBEN_LNC025713)". Lineage: Eukaryota; Viridiplantae; Streptophyta; Magnoliopsida; Solanales; Solanaceae. The record is from RNAcentral.